AGGAUAGAUGGUGAAGCCAAGUUUCGACUUCUUCCCAUAAUCCACAGACAACCUCUCCAACAACAACGACCCCAGCCCAGAUCCGGUACCCCCACCCACAGCAUUAAACACCAAAAACCCCUGCAGCCCAGUGCAGUUAUCCGCAAGCUUCCUCACACGAUCCAGGCACAGAUCCACGAUCUCCUUCCCCACUGUGUAAUGUCGCGAAUAAUAAUCUUGAAGGACCGAUCACUGAGAACUUGAGCUCUUGUGUCAAUCUUAAUAGUCUGAAUGCACACGGCAACAGAUUAAAUGGAACAAUCCCACGCUCGUUAAGAAAGCUCGGCAGUAUGUCAUACCUUAAUUUGUCGUCAAACAAUCUGAAGGGUCCAAUUCCUAUCGAACUAGCAAAUAUCAGUAACUUGGAUACUCUUGAUCUUUCACUUAAUGGAAUAAACGGCCCUAUCCCUUCUUCCAUGGGUGAACUCGAGCACCUUUUGAAACUAAACUUGAGCAACAAUUUUCUUGUUGGUUACAUUCCCGCUGAGUUUGGAAAUUUGAGGAGUAUCAUGGAGAUUGAUCUGUCGAGUAAUCGCCUCUCAGGCCCCAUUCCUCAAGAAAUUGGGUUAUUACAGAAUCUGGAUUCACUGAAAUUAGAAUAUAACAACUUCUCUGGUGAUAUAAUGUCUCUAACCAACUGCUUCAGUCUUACUGUUCUAAAUGUGUCGUACAACAAUUUGGUUGGUGAUGUUCCUACAACAAAUAAUUUCUCACGAUUUUCUCCGGAUAGCUUUGUUGGUAAUCCUGGCCUUUGUGCCACUUGGAUCAACUCUCCAUGCCAUGUAGCCCAUACACCUGAGAGAGUCAUAAUAUCAAAAGCCGCCAUCCUGGGAAUUGCUGUAGGAGCCCUUUUACUAUUACUGAUGAUCCUAGUGGCUGCGUGCAGGCCACACAAUCCACCACCUUUCUUAGAUGUCUCUCUGAAUAAACCAGUAACCAACAUAUCACCGAAACUGGUGAUCCUCCACAUGAACAUGGCGCUUCAU
RNAcentral lists this unclassified non-coding RNA (1025 nucleotides) under Hevea brasiliensis (rubber tree). The record is from RNAcentral. Lineage: Eukaryota; Viridiplantae; Streptophyta; Magnoliopsida; Malpighiales; Euphorbiaceae.